CUGUGGUUUGUUUUUGUGUGUUGUUAUUUGUUAGGUCUGUCAGCAGGAUUACAGAGAAACUCCUGGCCCGAUCUUCAUGAAACUUGAUGGAAGGGUGUAGCACAGGCAAAGGAA
Long non-coding RNA from Sander lucioperca (pikeperch), 114 nucleotides. RefSeq lists it as uncharacterized. The transcript is spliced from 4 exons. The record is from RefSeq and is a predicted model, not a curated record. Lineage: Eukaryota; Metazoa; Chordata; Actinopteri; Perciformes; Percidae.